RNAcentral lists this ribosomal RNA (131 nucleotides) under Cantharellus cibarius (golden chanterelle). RNAcentral describes it as "partial 5.8S ribosomal RNA". Lineage: Eukaryota; Fungi; Basidiomycota; Agaricomycetes; Cantharellales; Hydnaceae. The record is from RNAcentral.
AGUUGCAUGGCACUUCUAAUCUAACACCAAGCGAAUCAUCGAGUCUUUGAACGCAAACGGCRCCCUUCCAGUCCAUUCCAAAGCGGUGGCGGAGGAUGAAGACAAGGGUAUCUCUGGCUGAGGGUAAUGGG